CCUGCCCUAGAAGUGUGCAGGUGUGGCUGUUGUGUCACAUGUGCAUCAGUAGGUGGCAGAGCGAGGAGAGAGGCUAUGUCUGUGCUCAUUGUUCUGACCUGCGAACAUCUGAAUUAGUAGCCUAACAUU
Molecule: small nucleolar RNA, 129 nt
Organism: Acomys russatus (golden spiny mouse)
Lineage: Eukaryota; Metazoa; Chordata; Mammalia; Rodentia; Muridae
Product: small nucleolar RNA SNORA17
Exons: 1
Source: RefSeq, a predicted model, not a curated record